GGAAUCAGUCUUGAACCAGACGCUUUCUCCGGCUCUUCUUGGCAGCGCGGCGGAUAAACAACAACAACAACCCGGUGUCUGCGUGCCACUGCGAGGGACGACGAGGUCGAGAUGGACCGCGAUAAGCGAACAUUGUGUGGGCAGAUGCUAGAUCCUGCUGGAAAAUGAAACCAACAUCUCCAUAAAGCUUGUCAGUAGAAGAAAAACUGACUUUGGGCCACUUAUCCCAGGAAAUAUGAAGCAAGCAGGAGGAAUGUCACUUUGGAAAAGCGUGACGAAACCGAGAUGACGGACUCCGAGCAGGACUCGCCGAUCCCAUUCUGAGGAUGCAGAGACAAUGUGAAGCUUUAAUCAGCGAGCCAAGGAAUCUGGAUCAGCGCUAUGCAAAACAUACCGAAAUAAAUGCAACCAAACAUGUUGCAAAAACACAACCCCCCUUUCUUUGCUAAUUGUAAUGCUUCCUAUAAAAAAGUUUUACAUAAUGACAAAAUGAGCUACAGCCCCUGAGCAUGCAGCCAGGGUGGCAUGUCUGUAACUGACAGCAGAGGUGGUGGUGUGGGUAUCGUUUGUAUAUUUUGAGCCCAGGAAUGCAGCAAUCAUUAUUAACUUGCCAAGCGCCAAGUAAUAUUUUUUCCUUCUUCACAAACUAGCUGCAACAUGUCAUGGAUGAGGUUUG
Molecule: long non-coding RNA, 676 nt
Organism: Girardinichthys multiradiatus
Lineage: Eukaryota; Metazoa; Chordata; Actinopteri; Cyprinodontiformes; Goodeidae
Exons: 3
Source: RefSeq, a predicted model, not a curated record